GACGAACGCUGGCGGCGUGCUUAACACAUGCAAGUCGUACGGUAAGGCCCUUUCGGGGGUGCACGAGUGGCGAACGGGUGAGUAACACGUGAGUAACCUGCCCACAACUUUGGGAUAACGCUAGGAAACUGGUGCUAAUACUGGAUAUGUGCUCCUGCUGCCUGGUGGGGGUUGGAAAGCUCCGGCGGUUGUGGAUGGACUCGCGGCCUAUCAGCUUGUUGGUGGGGUAGUGGCCUACCAAGGCGGCGACGGGUAGCCGGCCUGAGAGGGUGACCGGCCACAUUGGGACUGAGAUACGGCCCAGACUCCUACGGGAGGCAGCAGUGGGGAAUAUUGCACAAUGGGCGCAAGCCUGAUGCAGCAACGCCGCGUGCGGGAUGACGGCCUUCGGGUUGUAAACCGCUUUCAGCAGGGACGAAGCUUUUUGUGACGGUACCUGCAGAAGAAGCACCGGCUAACUACGUG
This 465-nucleotide ribosomal RNA is filed under the name uncultured bacterium. RNAcentral's name for it is "partial 16S ribosomal RNA". It matches the Rfam family "Bacterial small subunit ribosomal RNA", at positions 28 to 507 of the family's 1533-position model. The record is from RNAcentral.